AUGUUUGCAAUGCUUCAGAAUAGAACAUUUGUUUUCAAUGGUUAAGAAUGGACCAAUUAGGAAAUGCCUAUGUAGCUUAUACAUUAUGAAACGCUGUUAAUGAAAAUUUGAAUAUUCAAACCUCUCACCAAUUAUUCCACAGAAGCAUGGAAAUGAUAUGAACUGAUGAAAAAGAUACUGGAGCUCCUUUAAAGAAUGCUAUCACACCAUAAGUGGAAGUACUGUGGUAGAAGAGAGACUAUAAAAUAUUAAUGGACUAUUGACCUGAGGUAGCAAAGGAAGAUAAAAGCAAAUUAUCUGAGUGCAUGAAGAAGCUGCCUGUCUCCACGGUGUGGAAAGAACUUCAAUAUAACAACAGUAAUCUCAAAUAUAGUAUUCUUGUUAAAGUAAACUGCAAAUCAAGAAGGCAUCUACUCAGCAGAGAAUUGUCUCAUAAACUUUUACAUCGUGAUGAUCAGAAAUGAUUAGCAUUACUUCCCAGUUUUUAUAAAUCAGGUAAUAUUUAUUUCAAUAUUUAUUCAAUAGAGCUAAACACAGUUGCUUGUUUUUAAGGGUGUGUGUGUGUGUGUGUGUGUGUGUGUAAAAUUUCACCCAAUAAACACUGCAUUUCUAGCUUAGAAAAUGUAAUAACCAGUUGUUUUCUUUCUCUCAGCUAAGACAACACAUUUCCAUUUAAUUAAAGUCUCAAACAUGGCCUGAGUUCACACUAGAAUUGCGAUGUUUGCUAACUAAAUAAAUGGAUUUGCUGGCAUCUAGCAUCAUCACAAUAGUUUGUAGGUCGACUUCUCUUUUGGCAGAAAAUCCCUGGAAUUUCAAAACCGUGAUUCCUAUGUUUAAAUGCAAAAGUGCUAGCUAAAAUAAAGGGUCAAAAUAAGACAGAUUAACUGUUUUAUUUCUCCUUCAUAUUUUAGUUAAAAUGAUGUAACACACGUUUCCUGUUUUCAG
This 945-nucleotide long non-coding RNA is filed under the name Macaca mulatta (Rhesus monkey). RNAcentral describes it as "lncRNA (ENSMMUG00000042979.2)". The record is from RNAcentral. Lineage: Eukaryota; Metazoa; Chordata; Mammalia; Primates; Cercopithecidae.